This is a long non-coding RNA of Aedes aegypti (yellow fever mosquito), 666 nucleotides long. RefSeq lists it as uncharacterized. The transcript has 3 exons. NCBI's taxonomy places the organism in Eukaryota, Metazoa, Arthropoda, Insecta, Diptera, Culicidae. The record is from RefSeq and is a predicted model, not a curated record.
AAAAUCUCAAGCUCAUCCCAGUGGAAGACGCCAUUUUUGACUAUCGGUUCUUUUGCGUCUAACCAUCUAACCGAUGGAUAAUUUAUUUUGUUAUUGGAGGCAAACAAUAAUUCGUAUUUCAAAUUUAAAUAAAGCCUUGCAGAAACGACAACCCAGAGAUACUUGAGGAUCAAGAUAUUGGUGCCCGUGAUAAAAAUCCUAGAAAAUGAAUGUUGGGAAAUGGUUUCCCCAUCGUACUGGAAUGGCCCCCAGUUUGGCGGUCAUCACAUCCAACGAGCCGGGCGUAGUAGUCAGCUAAGCACCAAUUGCACCGACUGUGGAUUGAAAACCGCUCUAUUAGUGGCCUCGAAAGAUCUCCAAGUUCUGGAGCAGUCACGAGCAGAUCAACGCGUCACUGCAUCUCCGCACGGCUAGCUGAACUGGACCGAAGAGGUGUGGAUAAAUUAUCAUAAACUUAAAAAUAUAAUUAAGCAAAAUUGAUUAACUUAAAAUUUAUAUUUAAUUCAAUAUAUACGCAUUAUGCUUCAAAUAACGAAUUUUGCAAAAUAUCGGAAGAUCAUACGAUACAGGUCAGAUAUUUGGAAAAAUUUGCAUAUCUGAAUGCAUUAUGCGUGAAUCUUUAACAUUCGAUAAUUUCAGAUAAAUACAUGUUUUCUGUAAAAUCCA